RNAcentral lists this ribosomal RNA (466 nucleotides) under uncultured bacterium. Its description in RNAcentral is "partial 16S ribosomal RNA". It matches the Rfam family "Bacterial small subunit ribosomal RNA", at positions 331 to 793 of the family's 1533-position model. The record is from RNAcentral.
CCAGACUCCUACGGGAGGCAGCAGUGAGGAAUAUUGGUCAAUGGGCGCGAGCCUGAACCAGCCAAGUCGCGUGAGGGAGGACGGCCCUACGGGUUGUAAACCUCUUUUGCCGGGGAGCAACGGGCGUCACGUGUGGCGUCACUGAGAGUACCCGGAGAAAAAGCAUCGGCUAACUCCGUGCCAGCAGCCGCGGUAAUACGGAGGAUGCGAGCGUUAUCCGGAAUCAUUGGGCGUAAAGAGUUCGUAGGCGGCACGUAAAGUCUGGUGUUAAAGGCAGAGGCUCAACUUCUGUACGGCACUGGAUACUUGCGAGCUAGAAUGCGGUAGAGGUAAAGGGAAUUCCUGGUGUAGCGGUGAAAUGCUUAGAUAUCAGGAGGAACAUCGGUGGCGUAAGCGCUUUACUGGGCCGUAAUUGACGCUGAGGAACGAAAGCCAGGGUAGCAAAUGGGAUUAGAUACCCCAGUAC